GUGUCAGCAGCCGCGGUAAUACGUAGGGAGCGAGCGUUGUCCGGAUUUAUUGGGCGUAAAGCGCGCGUAGGCGGUUUUGUAAGUCGGAUGUGAAAACUCCAAGCUCAACUUGGAGCCUGCAUCCGAAACUGCGAUGACUAGAGUCUGGUAGGGGAACACGGAAUACCUGGUGUAGCGGUGAAAUGCUUAGAUAUCAGGUGGAACACCAGUGGCGAAGGCGGUGUUCUGGGCCAGUACUGACGCUGAUGCGCGAAAGCGUGGGGAGCGAACAGGAUUAGAAACCCCUGUAGUCC
This 293-nucleotide ribosomal RNA is filed under the name uncultured bacterium. RNAcentral's name for it is "partial 16S ribosomal RNA". It matches the Rfam family "Bacterial small subunit ribosomal RNA", at positions 505 to 796 of the family's 1533-position model. The record is from RNAcentral.